Long non-coding RNA from Anolis carolinensis (green anole), 7123 nucleotides. RefSeq lists it as uncharacterized. Lineage: Eukaryota; Metazoa; Chordata; Lepidosauria; Squamata; Anolidae. The transcript has 5 exons. The record is from RefSeq and is a predicted model, not a curated record.
CACCACGCGCCAUUGGAGGUUGAGCUUGACAGGUUGUUACUCAGAAGUAGGACACGUCAGGUUGGGUUGGAGGUGGCAAUAGUAUAGAAAAUGUGUCCUAAAAACAGCCCCAAGAAGUCUAGUCUCUUGGUUACAAUUAUAACAAACUCUAAAACCCCAUAGUUCAUGAGGCUAGGUCAGUGGCUCUCAACUUGUGGACCCCCAGGUGUUUUGGCCUACCACACCAGAAAUCCCAGCCAGUUUACCCUGGGAGUUGAAGGCCAAAACAUCGGGGGCCCACAGAUUGAGAACCACUGGGCUAGGUGAAGUGUGUUAAGGUAUGUAAGAAAUCAGUUAAUGUGUGUAUCAACUGCAAAAAAAGAUGCGUGAAGCUGAUUGGUUGAGCCAUGUCUGGAGAGUUGUUCAGCCGCUCCAACAUGCAGGCAACACUGGGGAGACUUUGCAGUCCUUUGCCAUCCUGAGAAACAAAGGCCUCUCCAAGCUCAUCUCACGUUACUACUUUGCUGACAUCACUUUCAGCUGAUAGAAUAAACUACCUUGGUGGCUUCAUGUUCAAACUUGAGCUGACCAUUGCAUUGGAUAGACCACAUCAGCUCUAGAUUAUUAAAUAUGGUUUGCUGUGGGCGACCAAAUGGCGACUACUGGAUGGCAUAUGUUCUGUAUCAGAAACUAGAGCUGAUGUGGUCUAUUCAAUGCUGUUUUCUGAAUCAGCACUGCAAAUAACUAAACCGAAUCUAAAGUUGACCAAAAACUGGUUCGUAACCCUUUGGUACUAAUGUUGGAGAGUGGUCCCUGGUCAAAGUGGUCCCUGGUCAAGUGGACCUUGGUCAACAAAAGGUUGGGAACCACUGCUUAAAAGGUUUAGUAGAAGACAUAGUCCUUUUUCAGUGAGAAACAUUUUUUGUUUUUCUAGUAUACAUUAAGGUGCAACAAACUUCAUCAAGCUUUGUUUAGUAAGGAAUGAUGUCAAUACAUCUUAAGCAAGGACACACUUGGUGACUAGCCUACUUUCUGUCAGCCUAACUUCCUUCACAGGACUGCCAUGAGGAUAAGAUGAAGCAAUCCCCAUUUAUGCCACUUGAUGUUUCUUAAAAGAAAAGUGGGAAACAAAUGUGAUUCUGCGCCAGUUACAGACAAGGAGGGAUUUGGCCGGAGUCACUUAGAAAAAAAAUCGGUUUCUGGUUUGACAGUGUUAUCUGUGUUUAAUUGUGUGGUACUUACUUUGAAAGCCAUUGUUAUACUCCAGAAACUUCAUUUUUUGUGGCUGCAGUUUAAUGUUUUCCAUGUUUUUUUUAAGGAUAACCCAGGAAUGAAAAUUGUGUUAGUGUUAUGAAGAAUUUGUGGCCCUUCAAAUUUUAGCUCCAACUCCCAGAAACCCAAGAAUCAAGGAUGAUUGGGGUUUUAUAGUCCAACAUCUGGAGAGGGCAGCUUCUCAAUAAUAAUAAUUUAUUUGUUUGACCAUUUCAAAGUGCAACACAAAUAAAAAAAAGGCAGAAAGGACGGGAGGACAGCAGCUGACCUUCUGUUUGCCGUCAAAAUCUUAUUUUCCUGAUUCUUUUUUCAGGAAAUGUGCUCUUUUCUUGGUAGCUUUCAGGAUAAAAAGGCUUACUCUGAUUAUGGUGGAUCUUUCUCGUCCUUGUAAAAGGAAUGUAAAAAGAUAAUUUCUGUUGGGAGACCUAAAAUUAGAUAGUAAUGGAUGUAAAUAUCUGUGUCGAAGUUCAGCAUAUGCUGGGCAGUCAAUCAAAAAAUGUUCAAUAUCUUCCACUAUUUGUUCUCCUCUGACACAAAAUCUUUCAUUUCUUGGGAUGUUACAGUAGCGACCAGUUUGCAUCAUAAUACUGAGUUGUUCAAACCUGGCCCUGGUAUAUAUUCUUCAUAAGGGUAACGGAACUGGAAUAGUCAGAUAGUGUUCUAAAUGAAUAUUCAUUUUGUGGGAAGCUAAAAACUUUGUGGUACUACCUAUACUUGCUAGGUCCAAUUGAGCAUAGAUAUCAUGAGUGCGUUGCAUGAGCACUUGUUUUGCUCUAGGUCCUAGAUCAUUCAGAAAUUGUAAGGGAAGGCCAAUUUUAGCCAUCAAGGGAAGCUUCUCAAUGUCUUCCAUAAAAUCAUGAAAGCCAUUGGAGCACCACACCACUGGCUGUAUUAUGGCAGAGACCAACAACCGUAAUGCAAUCUGAAGGCAACAAAGAAUAUUGUGGCAUACUAAAAGAAUCAUAGAUUCCAGCCACUAAAGUAUAUGCUACAAUUCUAGCACAAUACUAUAUAUGUUGACUUGUAAGUUCUACGGUGUCCAUGGAGCUGAAGUCCUGAGAAAUGGGCACAAUAGGGAUGAAUGAGCAACCCUUGGGAAUCCAGGCAUCAAUUCUUGUCCUCAAUAGGGAGCUCCAAAAAAGGACGGUUGGGAAGUCACACAGAGAAACAGGGGAUGGGGUUUUUGUGCUAUUUUGCAGUUACUUCUGGAGCUUCUUUUUUAAUUUUUAAUUUAUUUUAUUGACUUUGUUUUAUAUUCUGACCUCAACAUAAUACAAUAGUAAUAGAAAAUACAUAAACUCGCAAACACAAAAAUAAAAACAGUGAUAUAUAGAACAUGAUAAACAGUAUUACAACCAUAUUAAAACCAAUUAUAUUAAAAUCCAAUUCCAUCUCAUUACCAUAGUUGAGUCCAGCAGCCAUUUCACACAAUUGGUUACCCAUUGUCUUCCCCAAAAGCUUCCUUCCAGAGAAAGUUUUUAACUUGCUUUCUGAAGGAUAACAGGGAGGAAGCCAUUCUGAUGUCCCUAGGGAGGGCAUUCCAGAGCCAGGGAGCCAUUGCCGAGAAGGCCCCCUCUCUCGUUCCCACCAACCGCACCUGAGACAAAGAUGGGACCAAGAGUAGGGCCUCCCCAGAAGGUCGUAAAGUUCGAGUAGGCUCAUAUCAGGAAAUGUAAUCGGAUAAGUUGGGCCUGAACCAUUCAGGGCUUUAAAGGUUAACACCAGCACCCAGAAUUGUGCCCAGAAGCAAAAUGGUGGCCAGUGGAGAUGCUGCACUAUUUUAAGGUUGACCAAUCCCUGUACUGCGCACCGGUAAGCAGCCUGGCCGCAGAUCUUUGGACCAGCUGAAGCUUCCGAAUGGUCUUGUUGAGCAUUCCUAUGUAGAGCACAUUAAUCGAAUCUGGAUGUGACAAGGGCAUGGGCCACUGUGGCCAAGUUUGAUUUCUCAAGGUAUGGGUGCAGUUGGCAUACAAGUUUUAAUUGUGCGACACUUGGGCCUCCAAGCUGCAAACCUGCAUCUUCAGGGGGAGUAUAACCCCGUCUAACACAGGCUGUAACCCUAUACCCUGAUCAGCCUUCUGACUGACCAGGAGGACCUGUUUUGUCAGGAUUGAGUUUCAGUUUGUUUGUUUCAUCCAGUCCGUUACUGCCAUCAGGCAUUGCUUUUAGGAUCAGAAUGGCUUCCUUAGAAUUAGGUGGAAAAGAGUAGUAGAGUUGGGUGUCCUCUGUGUAGAGGUGACACUGCAUUCCAAAACUCCAGAUGAUCUCACCCACAGGCUUCAUGUGAUGUUAAAGAGCACAGGGGAUAGAACAGACCCCUAUGGAACCCCAUAGGACAAAGGCCAGGGGUUCGAGCAGGAGUCCUCCAGCACUACCUUCUGGGACCGGCUCUCCAAGGACUGGAACCACAGCAAAACAGUGCCCCCGCAGCCCCAUUCUGGUGAGCUAGCCCAGGAGGAUAUCAUGAUCGAUGGUAUCAAAAACUUCUGAGAUGUCCAAGAGAACUAACAGGGACAACCCCGCCGCCCGGUUGAGCUUUCUGCAGAGGUUAUCCACCAAAACAACCAAAGCUGUUUCCGUUCCAUGGCCAGGCCUGAAGCCGGACUGGUAGGGAUCUAAAUAAUUCAUUUUUUUCCAGAAUCGCUGGAGCUGCAAAGCCACCACAUGUCCCAGAACCUUGACGAGAAAAAGAAGAUUUGAUACUGGCUGAGAAUUAUUAUUUUAACCCUUUAUGAGGUUUUUUUUUGGGGGGGGGGGCAAAGUGGGCAAAAACAGUGCAGUCUACUUGAUUCCUACACUAGAGCAACAUGCAACUGCCAUAUGAGAUUGUCUUGGUCUUUAAAAAGUGUCACCAAACUUCCUAAACAGCUAGUUCUCUGGAUUUCGUUACAUUCUGAAUGCAUGCUACAAACCUCUUCCAGCUGCCCUUACUUCAAAUUAAAAUUGAAAUCUCACACACCAUAAAGUUUUAAUAACAUUCAAAAAAAACUGGCACAAUUUACAAAUGCAUAGAAAGAUCAGAUUGGAACAUAUUAAAUGUAAUCUGUACUACAUUUAAAUGAUAAGUCAAAGAUUUUGAGAAUGCUCAUUUAUUAAGUAUUGUUUUUUUUAAAAUAAAAAGAGCACUUACAUCUUCAAAAAUAGCAUUUACAAAGGUAAAGAAAUAUCAGUACAAAACAUCAGUCUUUUUUCUAUUACAAAUAUGUAAACAAGCAGACCAUUUAUUAUUAAAGCUUUCAGUCUGUAAAGUUAAGAUGAAUCCAGAUAUUGAAACUACCAGCUGUAAGAACUGGUAAGUAGAAGGCAGUAAUUGAAUACAGUUUAAAAUGUUUCUUUUUCAUAUGCUGUUAUUGCAUAAUACUUUAUAUAACAGUGACCUAAUGGAAGCCCCAUAUCUUUUCUACAUUACCUUACAGUAAAGCCACCUUAUACACAAUUCAAUAUCCAAGGUUUAACUUACCCACACUUAAAUAUAUAUAUAUCCCCAGAAGUAUCUGUGGGCUUCUCUAGGUCCUCCAGUGCAAUUCUGUGGUUUGCUUACAGCCCAAGUAUAGGAUUCACUAUUAUCUUGGGGGGGGGGGGGUCUUCGAAUGUAUCCCCAACAGAGUUCUAGUGUAUUUUCUGACAGUGUACAUGCCAGAAAUUACAUUUUAAAUUCUAGUAUUUCCAUUGCCACUGUUUGAAUCCAAGAAGGUAAAGAAAAGUUAUUGGCCCAGGAAGAUCUGGCCAGUCAAGAGCUCUCCUAGGUGCUUUCCUCUCAUAAGUGUUUUUAAGUAUUAAUUACAAUAUUUUGGCGAGAACCGUAUCAGCAUACUAACGAUGAAAUGUACAAAGCAAACUUUAAACUUGCCUCCCCUCAAACCCAUCUGGCAAGGUUCUUUUUUGAAUAAAUUCACAAAUUGAAGCAUUAGAAUCCAUCAUUACACAACUGCUUCCUAUUCCAUAUCCUUUAAAAUUACCUGGCUUACUCAUUUGUGAAAAGGAAGACACAAGCUGGAAAGGACCUAUUACAAUGCUGAUUUCCAGCAGCAGAUUAAAAUCAAAAUACAGCAUUAAAAUGCAAACUAAAAACAAGGAUGUGUUCUUUUAGAAGAGGUAUAGUUGAAACAAUUGCCUGCUGACUGAGUGCAUUUCCUAUCAGUCUUAGUUAGCCUAAAGCAGUGGUUACCAACCUUUGAUACUCCUGGUGUUUUGGACUUCAGCUCCCACAACUCCUAGCAAAUAAUAAAUUGGCUAGGAUUAAUGGGAACUGAAGUCCAAGACAACUAGCAGACCAAAGGUUGGGAACCACAGGCCUAGACAAAGAUGAGAAAUCAUGCAAGUCAUAGUCAAUAUCUGGUAGGUCACAAAUUACCCACUCCUGUUACAGAACUAAAUUCUCAACUUGCUAAAGAACUAGAUUUAAAAUAGCCUAUAUUUUGUUUACUAACCAUCUGCAAAACAGCAAGCCUUGUGAAAGAUACUCCUGGGAUCGUUUAUCUCCUCUGAUUCAUAUAUCUUAAUCUAUUCUCCUUAUAUUGAGUGUAAUCACAUUAACAGCUACAGUAAAAUGUAAUGGCAAGCAUUCUUUCUACAAUAUUGAAUUCUAUUUCUGAAGCUUGCAGCAGUAUAGAGAAAAAAGGCACUUGGGCUUCCAAAAUGUGGCAAGCUUCUAAUUUUUAGGAGAAAUAGUUAAUUCUUUUCUACAGAAGGAACACUCCUACAUGCAUGUUAACUCUUAUAUAUACUGUUAACACUUAUAUACUGUCAACCAUUUGGACAUUUCUAUGCAUUAAGAAAGCUAUAUUUUUCUGGAAUCUAUUUAUCUUACGUUAAAGCUUAGUACCAAGAGAUAUAACAGUAACUUUUUUUCAAGUAUUCAGAUUCCAGCACUGUGAUCAGCCUUAAAAUGUGGAUCUCAUUUCAUGAUAUUUUCUUUUAAAAAAUAAUUUAACAACCAAAGGAUUAACAUGAUUCUUUUCAUCCAGAUGCCAAUAUUAAAACUCCUGGUUAUCCCAAGAGAUCAGAAGAUUUACCCAACAAGAACGAUCUCAUGCUUUGUGUUCUCCGGAGACCUCUCUGAGUAAACAUCUCAUCUUCUGAGUAGGUCCCUUCCCUCUCCUCAUCUGUUUUAUCAUCUUCAGAAUCAUUUUUCACUGGAAUACUGUAACCUGAGAUGACAAGGUUAAAAAUGCAAAGCACUGUAAUUUAAAGCAAUCACUUGUAAUUAUUGACCUUUUAAAAAGUCAGAAAAUAUGGGUUGCUCUGCUUCUGGUUUUUCCAAAUGCUAGCUAUGAAGUGCACCAAAGAACUGCACAAAAAUCCACAUACUCAAAGUUGUUGAGAGCAGUUUUCUCUGAAAAGUUACAUUUAAAACCAAGACAGCUUUCAAAUGCAACAUAUGCAAUAUGGAUAUUUGCUAUUAAAAGGGAAAACCACAUUUAAAAACUGGACAGGCUUUAAACCUUAGAUGCAGCAAAAUUAUGACUGGAUCUCAGCAACAGUGUUAAACAGCAUUUAGCUGCUUUCUCACAUCUUCAUUCAUUUCUUGAACAAUGCAAUUCUGUGAAAUCUGCACUAAAGGGCACUAUGCCAACCUUGCUGAACACUUUGUUACCUUGUAAAAAUUUUGAGCUGUAUCCUAGAGCACAAAGCAAACAAGACUCGGCUUAAUGCAGUGGCAGAGAAGUAAUGAUCGGUUAAAGAUAGCACUUUAUCUUUAUCAAGACCAUGUUAAUACAGUUGAGAGACAGUGAGAGGGCACACUUUUUGUAAGGCAAGAUAAAGGGAAAUAUAAUACAAAUUGUUCGGAAAGUAACAUGAACCUAUAGCUAUUCCAGUCUGAUUUGCGUAAGUAAGGUAGUCUCAUUUUUCAGAAAUGCUUAUCUUUCUG